GAUCCUGGCUCAGGACGAACGCUGGCGGCGUGCCUAACACAUGCAAGUCGAACGGAGAUAUGUUUUGGAAGGGCUUCGGUCUGGAAGAGAUAUAUUUUAGUGGCGGACGGGUGAGUAACGCGUGGGCAAUCUGCCUUGUAGAAAGGGAUAACAGGCCGAAAGGCUUGCUAAUACCGGAUGAGCUUGUCUAAUGCAUGAUAAGACAAGGAAAGGGGAAACCCGNUACAAGAUGAGCCUGCGU
Molecule: ribosomal RNA, 241 nt
Filed under: uncultured bacterium
Lineage: Bacteria
Description: partial 16S ribosomal RNA
Rfam family: Bacterial small subunit ribosomal RNA
Source: RNAcentral